Molecule: transfer RNA, 89 nt
Filed under: Lentinula boryana
Lineage: Eukaryota; Fungi; Basidiomycota; Agaricomycetes; Agaricales; Omphalotaceae
Description: tRNA-Glu
Rfam family: tRNA
About the family: Transfer RNA (tRNA) molecules are approximately 80 nucleotides in length. Their secondary structure includes four short double-helical elements and three loops (D, anti-codon, and T loops). Further hydrogen bonds mediate the characteristic L-shaped molecular structure. tRNAs have two regions of fundamental functional importance: the anti-codon, which is responsible for specific mRNA codon recognition, and the 3' end, to which the tRNAs corresponding amino acid is attached (by aminoacyl-tRNA synthetases). tRNAs cope with the degeneracy of the genetic code in two manners: having more than one tRNA (with a specific anti-codon) for a particular amino acid; and 'wobble' base-pairing, i.e. permitting non-standard base-pairing at the 3rd anti-codon position.
Source: RNAcentral
UCCAAUGUGGUGUAGUGGUCAACAUUGCUGUCUUUCAUGACAUUGUCUACAUAACACAGCAGCCCGGGGUUCGAUUCCCCGCAUUGGAA